This is a long non-coding RNA of Peromyscus californicus insignis, 9989 nucleotides long. RefSeq lists it as uncharacterized. The transcript is spliced from 2 exons. The record is from RefSeq and is a predicted model, not a curated record. Lineage: Eukaryota; Metazoa; Chordata; Mammalia; Rodentia; Cricetidae.
GAGGCCGACUGGGGCAGUGACGGCCUUCUGCUCCUCCAAGUAGGACUCCCAGGACCAGCCUUCCUUCUUCUCCCGCGACACUGCAGAGACAAGACAGCCAGGCUGGCUCCUGGGUUACCUCCAAGACAUGGACAAUCUUCCUCGGUUUCCCAGAUUGAGCUCUGUCUUAACCUCUAUCUUAAUCUCCAAGCAAACCUUUAUUUGUCCACAUGUGUACCUCUUAUCACACUCAGCUAUGACAGUGCCGGGCACAGGGGGGCUCAGAUUCUGUUUGUUCUUCCUCCACCGCCAAGCCACUGUCAGCAGAAGCUCUUUGGAUUAUACAGCAACUAAGGUCACAAAGUCUCAGCCACUCUGUCCUUGGAAACAUGCAGGGUGAGGAUUAGUGAUGAAACCUAAGCCAGAGGACUUAAUCAUACCGCUACCUAAGCUCACAAAGGGAAGAGGAAGUAGAGAGUCAGAGGGAGAACAGGUCGGAAAAAGUGAAGGCGAGAACACACAGAAAUAAACCUUUCUAAAGAUUGUUUUCUUAAGUACUUACAGGCAUAGACAUACAUGUGGGUGUGAGCCUAAUGUGCUCCAGUACGUGGACCAAUUCUAGUCUUCCCAGACAUGUACGUGCUUAGGGUGAGCAUAUAUGUGUGUGAUGGGUACAUGCAUUCAUGGACAUGAGCGUGUGCAAACACACACACACACACACACACACACACACACACACACACACACACACACACACAAAUACUACAGUUCAGGUCCUGUUCAUACCCUUAUGAGUGCCUGGGGCAGGAGGGAUGGGAAGUUUUCCUGCUGGUAGAUUCCUGGCCUCCAUGCACAGGACACCUUAAAGGCUAUGACUACCAGUCACCCAGAAGGUAGGCUGACCUGCUCAGCUGAGCUGCUUUCCACUGAAGGCCACAGACAAUCAGAGACUCAACACUGUAUAAGAAUUGGCUUAUAUUUUGGGUGGAAACAGCUCUAAUUUCUGGAAAUGGACUCAGUUUUGUGAUGCUAUCUACUAUAGAGCGCUUGUGAGGAUUCUGUAACAUGUGGUCCAGAAAUACCUUAUGAAAUACCAAGACUAGAGUCAGGUUACUGAUUCUUUCUGCUCUUACUCAAGACUGACUGAGCCAGCUCCUCCUUGCUCUGGUUCACUCAGCGUUGGGUCAUUCAAGCUUGUGGUGGUGUGUUGCUCAGGAAGAUGGUUUGUUCCUCAGUGGAACUCAAGUUUGUUCUACAGCUGCCUAAAUUCCUCAGUCACUGUACCAAACCUUGAGCUCCCAAUGACCUGACCCAACUGGGCUAAGACAAAUAUUGAUCAGUUCAUCAACUGAUCAAUCAAGCUAUCAAACUCUCUCGGAGAUUGAUGUCAAUGCCAAAUAUCUAGUGAACAUCUCUUCAGGGCAUCCUUUGUCCCGAGUAAGACUUCUACUACACUCCUCCAGAACUCCCCUAGCUCUUUUUGUUUCAUUUGGUUUUUCGAGACAGGGUUUCUCUGUGUUGCUUUGGUGCAUGUCCUGGAGCUCGCUCUGUAGACCAGGCUGGCCUUGAACUCACAGAGAUGCGCCUGACUCUACCUCUCGAGUGCUGGGAUUAAGGUGUGCGCCACCGCCGCCCGUCUUCUCCCCUAGCUCUUUACACAGCUUUAUACAGCUUCAUAAAUACUCACUGAGCAGGGGCACAGAGAAACAAAAUCAGAGCUCAGGAUGCCAGGCUAUUCAUGUUGGUGUUUUUUUUUUUUUUUUUUUUUGGCCGCUGGGAUACCACACCACCCUAUCUGACUCUUUAUUUUAUCCAGAUGACCACUGCUAUGGCCAAGCAACAUCCAGGUCUUUCUCCCUGGAUAACACCCCGUUUGCCUUCCCUUCCCCAAGCUGUGGCACAAGCUCAGUCAGCAGCUGAGAGCUUGCCAGCAUUCUCAUCUCAGGCACCUUUAUUGCUCCUAGGCCCUUCGGUCCUGAGUUCACUCCCCUUUACCCCUCCUCUAACACAGCCAAGCUGUAAGACACACACCCGACGCCGUAGCAGACGUUUCUCACAGGCACUUUGGUGAUCUGUUUGCUCUUACACCACCAGUCCUCCUUCACAUCACUGCCUUCCCUGCGCCAGUACUUAACUUUUAAUUUUUUAAAAAUGUAUAUGGUGUCUUACCUGCAUGUCUGUCUAUGCACCAUGUAUAUGCAGUGCCCAUGGAGGCCAGAAGAGGGCAUCAGAUCCCUCUGGAACUGGAGUUACAAAUGGUUGUGAGCCGCCAUGUGGAUGCUGGGAAUUGAACCCAGGUCCUCUGAAAAGCAGCCAGUGAUCUUAACCAUUGAGCCAUCUCUAUAGCCUCCACCAAUGCUAUCGUGAUGCUCUCACUGAACAUAACAUGUAACAGGUCUUCAGCCUUCUGUCUCCUAUCACACACCACCUUGUUUUACCUUAACUAUUCCUUUUACCAUUUAGUGGAACCAUCUGUAUGCCACGUCUGCUGCCAGCAAUUGAGAGUUCAGAGAUGCCUCAAGGAUUUCAUAUACAUCAUCUCUUUUAGAGCUCUCAAUGCCUUGAGGUGACAGGAAGGACUGGUAGGUACCUCUUAUACAGAUGCGAAAAGGAGAUCUUGUAUUGUGUAUCUUCCACUGAAAAGAGGUCUGGCUCCCACACUUCUCUGUAAUACCUGGAUUCCUCCCAUGGACAAGCCCCUUGCUCCCUCCAGUUUCCUGCAUCCUUUCUCCUGGUAAACUUUUAGUCUCAUCUCCAAGCUCAAGUCAGUCCUAAAGCUCUUCUGUGUGGUUGCACAAUCUAUAUACUCCACACUGACACCCAGGCAAGGGGCUGCAGGGGGCUGAUGUCCAGACUGGGUUCCUCGCCAAGUCAUGUGGCUGUCUGUUGCUGGGUAUUUGUACACUGUGUGAAGAUGAGUCAUUGUGACCGGUUUAAUAAAAAGCUGAACAGCCAAUAGCUAGACAGGAGAAGUUAGGUGGGACUUUCAGGCAGAGAGAGAAACUGAGGGGAUGAAUUGAGGCACAUGAGAGAUGUCAUUGAGACACGGAGUUGGACAUACAGAAUGGAGGAGAGGUAAAAUACCACGUGGCAAAAUCAGAUGAUUAAUAGAAACUGGUUAAUUUAAGUUAUAAGAGCUAGUUGGAAACAAGCCUAAGCUAAGGACAAGCAUUCAUAAUUAAUAAUAAGUUUCUGUGUCAUUAUUUGGGGGCUGGCAGUCCCCAAAGAAAGUCUGACAAGAAAGUACAACUACUUUGGCACCCAACAUAGGAUCAUGUAUAUCCACAUAGGGCCCAAGAAAGCUGAAAAAAAAAAAAAAGUUCCGAACAUGGAGCCAGACAUGACUUCUUAGUAACUGCAUCUCCUAAGCAGGCCCAAUGCUAGCAGUGUACAGAGAUGCGGCUCUUUUGAGAGGCCUUGCUGUGCAGCUGAGCACUUGAAAGCCUGCACACUACUCAGCACUAGGUACAGACUGCAGCACAGACACAACCUUCCAGAACUGAGAUGGUUAGGCGAGGUGUGGCUGGGACAGUCAGGUGUGGCUCCCAUCACUGCCUGUGGACCUGAAGAGGACAGAGUCAGCCGCCAGCACCAUGUGCUUAGCCAGCCACACAGUGGAGUGCCUGGCCAUUUACAGUUUGUUUUCCAUAGUCAGAGGAGGCUGCAGACUUUGCAGAGAAGACUGCUGCUGUGGAAUGUUCUGUAUGGCAAAUAUGUUAAUAAAUAAACACUGAUUGGCCAGUAGCCAGACAGGAAGUAUAGGCGGGACUAACAGAGAGGAGAAUUGAGGGAACAGGAAGGGAAGGAGGAGACUGCCUGCAGCCGCCGCCAGGACAAGGAAGAUGUAAGGUACCAGUAAGCCACGAGCCAUGUGGCAAAGUAUAGAUUAAUAGAAAUGGGCUGAAUAUAAGAGUAAGAGCUAGACAAUGAUAGGCCUGAGCUAAUGGCCAAGCAGUUUAAAUAAUGUAAGAGUCUGUGUGUUUAUUUUAUAAGUGGGCUAAGGGACUGCCGGGGCUUGGCGGGACCUGGGGAGAAAACUCCAGCUACAGACUGCAAAAAGUCAGGUCCAUGCUGAGAAAACCUCUGAAUAGGUAGAGUAUGCUUGAAAAUGUGUUUUGAUAGCUGGGCGGUGGUGGCGCAUGCCUUUAAUCCCAGCACUCGGGAGGCAGAGCCAGGCGGAUCUUUGUGAGUUCGAGGCCAGCCUGGUCUACAGAGCGAGAUCCAGGACAGGCACCAAAACUACACAGAGAAACCCUGUCUCAGAAAAAAAAAAAAAAAGAAAGAAAGAAAAGAAAAUGUGCUUAGAUGCUGAAGAAAGAAAAGAAAAUGGGUAAAGUCAUAGAAAAAAUAGUUUAAAAAUUAAAGUCUUUAAAGAGAGAGUAAAGUAAUAUAAAAUAAAUAAGCCACAAAAGGAUGGGAAAUAUAACACAGGAUGUCUGGAUCCUGUAUAGCACUUUAGCAACUUUAAAUUUUUUAAAUGCUAAUGAACAAAAAAUGGCAGCUGCUGAGAGAUAUUGGAUUGUGGGAAAAACUACUGAAUUAAACGAGUCUAUAUAUUUUAAGAAUGUCUUAACUUUAGAAUGGAAGUAAAAAAAUGUGCUGUGUUGGGGGAGAGGUGUGCCUUUGUUUCCACAGGAAACAAAAAGCUAUGGAUUCCUUCAAAAUUAAUAAAGAUGAGAUUUAAUUGGGAAACCUCCUGAAAAUCUUGGCUGCAGACAUGAAGGAAGAAACCAAGAAAAACAAUAAGACAGGUGAUGUAUAAAGUUGAUCCCUGGACAUGGGCACAGCUCUGAGACUGGAUGAGACAUGAUAAAUCUUGUUAGCUACAGAGUUCUCAUGACUUAUUAUUACAUGCCAUAUUUUCAUAUGGCAUGGAAUGAGAUUUAUAUUACAGUUUGAUUAUACAGUCCAAAUGGACUUAUAAAGUUGACAGACGUCUUUUACCUGCUCAAACAUGGAACAGAGAAUCAUCUUUAGUUGAUUUGUGCACACUGCACAUUCCAUACUUGUGUUAAUGCAGAUAUGCAUGUUACCUUUAAAAGUUUCUGUGUUGUCAGGAAAAAAAAAAAAGGACCAGACAUCAAUGGAGACAAGUAGCCUAGGUGAUCCAGCCUCUCAGAAUGCCUCUGUUGCAGCUUCCUCAACAAUCUGUAUCCAGAACAACUUCAAAGCAGCUGGCUGAGAUGGUCCAGCCUCACAGACUGCUCCAGCCAGGACUUCAGUUAAGCCCUGCACUUUCCCACCACACAGAGACUGGACAACAAAUGAUACCGCUAGCUCUCCCAGGACUUGACCAUUAUCCCAAUUUUCUCAGAGUCCCCUAAAGAUGCUAUCACCCCCAGACAACAGGAAGUAAUUUUAAGAACAUGAUGCCUACAUUCCUGAGAGGUGGGGUGGAUGGUUUGGGAUAUUUGUCAUUGUUUAGAGGUAUUUGUGGUGGUAUUGUGUUCCCCAAAAUAUUGUGCAUGCUAAUAAACUUAUCUGGGGUCAGAGAAGAGAACAGCCACAAUAUUAAACAUAGAGGAUAGGCAGUGGUAGCACACGUCUUUAAUCCUAGCAUUCAAGAGGUAGAAAUCCCUCUGGAUCUCUGUGAGUUCAAAGCCACAUUGGAAACAGCCAGGCAUGGUGACACAGCCUUUAAUUCCAAGAAGUGAGCCUUUAAUCCCAGGGAGUGAUGACAGAAAGCAAAAAGAUACAUAAGGCGUGAAGACCAGAAACUAGCAGCAUUUUGGCUGGUUAAGCUUUCAGGCUUCUAGCAGCAGUUCAGCUGAGAGCCAUUCAGAUAUGAGGACACAGAGGCUUCCAGUCUGAGGAAACAAGAUCAGCUGAGAAGUUGGCCAGGUGAGGUUAGCUGUGGCUUGUUCUGCUUCUCUGAUCUUCCAGCAUUCACCCCAAUAACUGGCCUCAGGUUUGAUUUUAUUUUAUUUUUUAUUAUUAUUAUUAUUAUUAUUAUUAUUAUUAUUAUUAUUAUUUUGGUUUUUUGAGACAGGGCUUCUCUGUGUAGCUUUGGUGCCUGUCCUGGAUCUCACUCUGUAGACCAGGCUGGCCUCGAACUCACAGAGAUCCGCCUGCCUCUGCCUCCCAAGUGCUGGGAUUAAAGAUGUGCGCCACCACUGCCCGGCUGAUUUUAUUAAUAAAUACCUUUAAGAUUUGUGCUACAGGUAUUGGUUGUAAAUUGUUACUGGUUGUGGUAAGGGAGGAAAAAAGCAAGGGAGGUUAGAUUCAAGGAUCUGUUUCUCAAAAGAAGAAGUGGUGAUACAUAAAUGACAGGAUAAAAGGAUAGAUUAUUAAAUCUACUUUUAAACUAAAAAGUAACUAUCAAUCUCAAAUAUUUUACAUUGGUAUGGAUUUUUGUAUAUUUAUACAAAUUUAAGAUUAUUUUGUUAUAACAUGCUGUAUAUAUGUUUCUACUCUUGUUUAAGGUAUUUUUGUAUAUUGAUAAAAAUUUAAAGUUAUUUUUGUUAUAACAUACUGUAAGGUAAUGUACCUAUGAGGCUCAUUUAAAAAUGUAAUGUAAAGUUCUAGUUCUUGAAAGCUAUUAUUAUAAACUAUUUAGGAUAAUUUAAAAAUGCAGGUUAGUAGUUAUCUAUAACAAUCAAACUUGUAGUCAUGUUAGGUAUGUUUUCAAGGUCAAACAGAGACAUUUUUAGAUACCGCGAUGCUCUUCACCACUUCAGAGACCUACCAAAUAUAGCAUUUAAGAUGUUUUAAUAACAUAAGACUUUUCAUGACAGUGAGGUAUAUCUGUUCCUGGCAGCAUCAAUUUACUUCAGAGAAGAUGAUGGGCAUUGAAGAACCUCCAUAUGGAGUUUGCUUUCAAUGUGGCAAAGCCAGCCAUUGGGCAAGAAACUGCCCUUGACUCAAUUGCUGACAGUAUGCUGUCCACACUGGACAAGCAGAACACAAAAGAAGGCGACUGUCAAACUUUGCCAAGACAGGGUAGGACAGUUCUUCAAAAAUUUCCUGCUUUACAAAAAAGUCUGUCAGAUAUUCUAGGCCUGUAGGUCCAAGAUAGAUGCCCCAACGUUGCAGAGGAAUCUUGGGUGACUGUCCAGGCAGCCAGCUGUUUCUGUCAUUUCUAUAGUUUUGGAAGUUGUUUUCUCUGUACUUCCUGUUUACUCAGGUAAUAGUAUAUCCUUCUCAGGUGUUUGAUGGGGUUGAAGACUAGAUAGUUAUACUGUUUUCUUUGUUACCAAGUUCAAAAGAGAAACUUACAAAAGAGAUAUAAAGUUUAUAAGGUUGAGAGACAUAAAAGUUUAAGUCAUCCAUCUAAGAAAAUGUUUUUAGGUCUAAAAAGAUACUUUUAGAUUGGUAAUACAAGUUAUAAUAGAAAGCGGUUAUAUAUAAAACUUUGGACUUAUCAAGAGAGAUAGAAAAUAGAGCAAUUUCUCCGAAUUGCCAAUUACAAAUGGACUGAGUAUUGUAAAUGUAAUUCUUACCUGAUAAUUGUUCUUAUUGUAUAUAGUUUUACUAUGUCAGAGUUAAAACCUCUCCUUUUUAUUUAGACAAAAGGGGGGAAAUGUUGUGGGAUAUUUGUACAGUGUGUGAAGAUGUGUUGUUGUGAUUGGUUUAAUAAAAAGCUGAAUGGCCAAAAACUAAGCAGAAGAGGUUAGGCUGGACUUCUGGGCAGAGAGAGAAACUAAAGGGAUGAAUCUAGGCACAUGAGAGAUGCCAGUGAGACACAGAGGGAGUCGGACAUACAGAAUAGAGGAGAGGUAGAAAGCCAUGUGGCAAAAUGUAGAUUAAUAGAAACUGGUUAAUUUAAGUUAUGAGAGCUAGCUGGAAACAAGCCUAAGCUAAGGCCAAACUUUCAUAAUUAAUAAGUCUUUGUGUCAUUAUUUGGGGGCUGGUGGUCCCAAAAGAAAGUCCGACAAGAAAGUCCAACUACAACUGUCUACAGUGAAGAAGGAGCCCUCUUCUGACUGGUCUGCAAAUAAGAGGCAUCUUUACAUGAUUUGUGUGAAGGCAUCACAGAGGCCAGCUGUAAACGGAUCCCCUCUGGCUUCCAGAAAUGCUCCUUUGCUUGUUCCUGCUUCAUCAGAUGCCCUUGGCAAGCUUAGCCUGAUCAAAACCAACCUGGAAACUACGACACCAAAGCUUGUGGCCCUUUUGGUGCUGUGUAUCCCAGAUAGUGGCACGUCCAUCCAGUCAUCUAGCCAGGGACCUGGCACUGACCUGUGUGCUUCUCUGUUCCCCAGAAUCCUCUAGUCCUGCUGAUUCCAACUCCUGUGUCUGCUGAGUCUCUCUCCACAUCUCCUCAUUUAGUUCUUGCUCUGAACCAGUCCAAGAUCCCCCUUCUUGAUCUUUCUGUUCCAAACUUAUUACACUUCCAAAACAUCUCUGAAGUAAAGAGUUCUUUUUUUUUUUAAGUCCUACAGUAUCUUCUCAUUUCCAACUAAAGAGCAAUAUCACACACAAAACCAGCAAAGCCCUCUGUGAGUGAGCCACUCCUUCCUGCCCAUGCUUCACCACGAGCCUCUCCACCUCUGGACCUGUCUGUGGCUUUGAACAGGCCCAGCCCUCUAGCUCAGGUAUCCUGCUCCACACUUUUCUUCCAUCCUCCUAUCUUUUCCUCACCCUCUAAGACCCAGACCCAGCUACAGCAUCUAGCUAAGGCUUUACAAGGAGUAGGUGUUCAACAAGUGUUCAGUAUAUGACUAGAGAAAAGACGGGUGUACCAAGUCAUGAAAUGGCUGACUGCAUGUGGCAGUUGUCCUGUGAAAUGGCUUUGUGUUUACAUAUUUCACACAUGAUACCUGUUAUAUGAUAUAUAACAUACUGUUAUGUGAUAUAUAAUACAUCAUACUGUUAUAUGACAGCUACUUGUCUACAUAUCCAUCUCUGCAACUGUGAGCUCCUUAGGUGAGUCCUAGUGUCUAGCUCACUCUGAAUGCUCAGCUCCAUACACAGUGGACAAUAUCUAGAGAAAGAGGGAGAAAAUGUAGCAAACAGGAUGCCAACAUUCAUGAGCCAUCUAAGGCUACAUAGUGAGAUCCUGUCUAAAAGACAGGUGGAGUAGGGAGAGAUGACUAGGUCAUGAGGGCAGUGCCCUCAUGAACAUGCUGCUAUUGAGGAAAUAUUCUGAAAAGCUAACGAAAGGCAGGGACCAUCUUCCCCCUCCAAGUUAAGGGUUUGUAGAAUUUUGCAUGGAUAUUUGAAUUAGGAACUUCAGUCAAAAAAGUGUUUCUAUAGUUGAGCAUGGUGGCAUAUGCUUGUAAUAUCAGCUCUAUAGAGGCAAAGGCAAGGUCAGCCUGAGAUGCAUCAUGAGUUCCAGGCCAGCUUGGGCUUAUCGAAUGAGAAGAUGUCUCAAACAAACAAACAAACAAACAAACAAACAAACAAACAAACAAGAAUCAGAACGCAUUUCUAAGCUGGGUGAGGUGGCUCGGGCCUAUAACUUAGGAUCUGCAAAGCAGAGGCAAGAAGACUGUAAACUGGAGUCUAGCUGGAGCCAAAGGUUAAGACCUUGUCUCAAAAAACAAAAAUACCUCACUAAACCAGAUGGGAUGGUACAUGCCUUAUAAUCUUAGUGCUUGGCUGAAGCAGGAGAAUCAUUCCUUUGAGGCCAACCUAGGUUGUAUAGUGAGACUCUGAAUCAAAAAACAAAAGGCCCAGGAGUGGUGACACACAUCUUUAAUUCCAGUACCAGGGAAACAGAGGCAGAUGGACCUCUGAAUUUGAGGCCAGUCUGGUCUAUGUAGCAAGUUCCAGGCCAGCCAGAGCUACAUAGUGAGGCCCUGUUUCAAAACAAAACAGAAAAUCAUCCUAAAAAGCCAAAAGGAAUUCUGAAAGAAAGGGGUUGGGUUGGGGCUGGAGAGAUGGCUCAGUGGUUAAGAGCACUGCCUGUUCUUCCAGAGGUCCUGAGUUCAAUUCCCAGCAACCACAUGGUGGCUCACAACCAUCUGUAAUGAGAUCUGGUGCCCUCUUCUGGCCUGCAAGCAUGCAUGUAGGCAGAACACUGUAUACAUAAUAAAUAAUAAAUAAAUAAAUCUUUGAAAAAAAAAAAGAAA